GGGGGAAUUGUGCACAAUGGGGGAAACCCUGAUGCAGCGACGCCGCGGGAGUUAGAAGGCCUUCGGGUGGGAAAAAUCUUCUCUAUGGGAAGAAAAUGACAGUACCAUAGGAAUAAGGACCGGCAAAUUACGUGCCAGCAGCCGCGGUAAGACGUAAGGUCCGAGCGUUGUCCGGAAUCAUUGGGCGUAAAGGGUACGUAGGCGGGUAAGCAAGUUAGAAGUGAAAUCCUGUAGCUCAACUACAGUAAGCUUUUAAAACUGCUCAUCUUGAGAUAUGGAAGGGAAAGUGGAAUUCCUAGUGUAGCGGUGAAAUGCGCAGAUACUAGGAGGAAUACCGGUGGCGAAGGCGACUUUCUGGCCAUAUACUGACGCUGAGGUACGAAAGCGUGUGUAGCAAACAGG
RNAcentral lists this ribosomal RNA (402 nucleotides) under Verrucomicrobiota bacterium. RNAcentral's name for it is "Verrucomicrobia bacterium partial 16S ribosomal RNA". It matches the Rfam family "Bacterial small subunit ribosomal RNA", at positions 355 to 776 of the family's 1533-position model. Lineage: Bacteria; Pseudomonadati; Verrucomicrobiota. The record is from RNAcentral.